Molecule: long non-coding RNA, 377 nt
Filed under: Equus caballus (horse)
Lineage: Eukaryota; Metazoa; Chordata; Mammalia; Perissodactyla; Equidae
Description: lncRNA (ENSECAG00000054475.1)
Source: RNAcentral
CCUCUCUUUCGCAGACCCCAAACCCCGGAGCCGGCGUCCCGGCCCACCCCGCCCUCCGCGCCCCCCGACGGCAGCGGCGGCCGGCAUUCCGGAGCAGCGCGUCGGAGCGGCAACUUCGCGCCCGGGCGCCCGCACCUCGCGGCCCGGCGGGCGGGAGACAAAAGCUGCGGCGCCGCCGGAGGCCGCGCGGCCAAGGCUCGGUGCUGGGCGCUGGGGAUACACAGGUGACCCGGUGGACUUGGUGCCCACUGCCCUGGAGCAGACAGUCUGGUGGACAAGACAGGCACUGAUUGGUGUGAUAUAAGAUUGGCACCUGAGCUAACAACUGUGGCCAAUUUUCUUUUUUUUUUCUUUCUGCUUUUCCUCCCAAAAUUCCC